CAAUAGCGUAUACUAAUGUUGUUGCAGUUAAAAAGCUCGUAGUUGAACUUCUGGUAGGAGUGUCCCGGCCUUCUUGUUUUUACAAAUUGUAUGCUGUGUGACAUCUCUGGCCAUCCUUCUUCUUUGUUUAAAGAAGAUCUUUCACUGUAAAAAAAUUAGGGUGUUCAAAGCAAAAGUUUCUUUGGAAUAUAUUAGUAUGGGAUGAUAAGAUAGGCUCUAGAUGCUAUUUUGUUGGUUUGCACAUUUAGAGAAUGAUUAACAGGGACAGUUGGGGGUAUUCGUAUUUACAUGUCAGAGGUGAAAUUCUUGGAUUUUGGAAAGACGAACUACUGCGAAAGCAUUUACCAAGGAUGUUUUCAUUAA
This 363-nucleotide ribosomal RNA is filed under the name uncultured eukaryote. RNAcentral describes it as "partial 18S ribosomal RNA". It matches the Rfam family "Eukaryotic small subunit ribosomal RNA", at positions 592 to 976 of the family's 1831-position model. The record is from RNAcentral.